Molecule: long non-coding RNA, 216 nt
Filed under: Mytilus galloprovincialis (Mediterranean mussel)
Lineage: Eukaryota; Metazoa; Mollusca; Bivalvia; Mytilida; Mytilidae
Source: RNAcentral
CCAAAAUCUUUCAUCAGAUGAACCUGAAAUUUAAGGCAAAGAUCUUACAGGACCUACGUCUUUGGUUAGAAUAUAAUGCAAACUUUUCCAAAAAUAUUUUUCUAUGUGUUUAGCUGGUCAGACUAUUAAAAUGAGCAUGAAUAAUAUGAUAGCCAAAUAAGCAAUUAAAAUUUAAACAUUUAUACAUCUUAUGAUAUCUAUUUUAUAUAAAUGGGC